This 422-nucleotide ribosomal RNA is filed under the name uncultured soil bacterium. Its description in RNAcentral is "bacterial SSU rRNA". It matches the Rfam family "Bacterial small subunit ribosomal RNA", at positions 26 to 440 of the family's 1533-position model. The record is from RNAcentral.
AGGAUGAACGCUGGCGGCGUGCUUAACACAUGCAAGUCACGGGGGGCCCAGCAAUGGGUAACCGGCGAACGGGUGCGUAACACGUGAGCAACCUACCGAAAUGAGGGGGAUAGCCGGCCCAACGGCCGGGUAAUACCGCAUACGCUCGGGACCAGGCAUUUGGACUCGAGGAAACCUCCGGGGCAUUUCGAGGGGCUCGCGGCCUAUCAGCUAGUUGGUGAGGUAACGGCUCACCAAGGGCGACGACGGGUAGCUGGUCUGAGAGGAUGGCCAGCCACAUUGGGACUGAGAUACGGCCCAGACUCCUACGGGGAGCAGCAGGUGGGGAAUCUUGCGACAAUCGGCCUAACGGCUGACGCAGCCGACGCCGGCGUGGAGGGUAUGGACGUCUCGUUCGGAGUUACGUUAAACCUUCGUUUUCG